CAAGAGCGUAUGUAAAAGUUGUUGCAGUUAAAAAGCUCGUAGUUGAACCUUGGGUUUGGUUGGCCGGUCCGCUUUUUUGCGAGUACUGGAUUCAACCGAGCCUUUCCUUCUGGCUAACCAGUCGUUUCGGCGGCUGGCGAACCAGUAUUUUUACUUUGAGAAAAUUAGAGUGUUCAAAGCAGGCAUUAGCUUGAAUAUAUUAGCAUGGAAUAAUAGAAUAGGACGUUAUGGUUCUAUUUUGUUGGUUUCUAGGACCAUCGUAAUGAUUAAUAGGGACGGUCGGGGGCAUCAGUAUUCAGUUGUCAGAGGUGAAAUUCUUGGAUUUACUGAAGACUAACUACUGCGAAAGCAUUUGCCAAGGACGUUUUCAUUAA
RNAcentral lists this ribosomal RNA (374 nucleotides) under uncultured eukaryote. RNAcentral describes it as "partial 18S ribosomal RNA". It matches the Rfam family "Eukaryotic small subunit ribosomal RNA", at positions 592 to 976 of the family's 1831-position model. The record is from RNAcentral.